RNAcentral lists this ribosomal RNA (806 nucleotides) under Triticum aestivum (bread wheat). RNAcentral's name for it is "partial small subunit ribosomal RNA". Lineage: Eukaryota; Viridiplantae; Streptophyta; Magnoliopsida; Poales; Poaceae. The record is from RNAcentral.
AUGUCAAGAUGCCUAGGGAUGUGUCAAGAAGUAGAUCACACACCAUCUAUAAUAUGAGAAGAAAUCUCUAAAAGUGCCAUAAAAAAAUCAGAUGUUGACAUAUCAUUUUGCUGUUACAAAUGUCAAAUAAAUUACCGCAAGAAAGAAAACAGCAUCUCUCUGAAUACUAACAUUAGAAAAGGUAAUCUGGUUUUGGUCACACCAUCAAUAAAUUAGAUAAACAUGACCGAAGCGCAAAGAAAUCAGAACUAAUCAGACCAUUCUCCAUGCAAAAACCAAACCAUACCAUGACCGAAGCGCUAAUAAAAAGUAGCAGGUAGUAUUCCCAGGGAGCAAAUAGACAAUCCCUUUUUGAAAUCAUGAUGCAUCCGGCCAUGACCGAAGCGCUAAUAAACAUCUAUCUGUAUAGUUCAAGGCUCUGAUAAUCAAACAUGUAUAAACCAACCAUUCAUUUUCCAAGGAUAAAACAAAGUUCAAAGCAGGCGAACACAAUUCUAGCAAGCACCCAGGCAUAGGAAUAUUUGAAAGCAGAUACUCAAACAUUUAUAUAUCAAAGCAGAACUCUGAAUAGCAACCAGGCAUAGGCAAAACAAUAGUUCUAACAAAAAAGAAAAUACAUACCAAAGUAAAAAAUAGGGUGUCAUCAAGAAUGCCUAAUUGUUCAAGUAUACAUUAUGGGCUGGGCUCAUGCCCAAUCACACAUAGAGCAUAAAUACAAAUUUGAGUUGAUUCAUUUAAAUACGGGAUCAGGAUAAUACAAAAAGAAGCAGACUGACAACAUACUUAUAUACCUAGAUAGACCCACC